Molecule: long non-coding RNA, 503 nt
Organism: Suricata suricatta (meerkat)
Lineage: Eukaryota; Metazoa; Chordata; Mammalia; Carnivora; Herpestidae
Exons: 2
Source: RefSeq, a predicted model, not a curated record
GAGCCACGGUUCUACUCGAAUUCCUGCCUGACUAACCCCAUUCCACAGCCGGGGACAGAGGCAUGGGGCCCAAGCAAACAGCUUCCCACCAGUGCUAGGAAGGUACUUUGGCUUAAAAGGUUGACUCCGAGUAGUCCAAACAAUGAGGGCUGAGAAAUCAGCGAACCCAGUCUGACCCAGACAACUGCUAGGCUGCUUUUCAGGGGCCUGAAGGCCAGUGAAACAAGGAGCUUCCACACGGGAGCGCUUUCCUGACACACGCACAGCCCACUGCCAACACUGAUUACACACACACACACACCACUCCAUUCCCAGCAGUUCUUCAUUCUGGAAGGAUCUCUGGCAUUUAAGAUACCCACACCUCAACAAAACAUGAGGCUCCAAAAAAGGGGGAAGAGGUUAAAUCUCAACUGAAAGUGCUUUCGGAGAGCCAAAGGUGAAUAACAGGACAAAGAUGAAUGUUAUACUACCCAAUCCAGAACAAUAAAAUAUCACUCAAGAAA